GACGAACGCUGGCGGCGUGCUUAACACAUGCAAGUCGAACGGAAAGGCCCUGCUUUUGUGGGGUGCUCGAGUGGCGAACGGGUGAGUAACACGUGAGUAACCUGCCCUUGACUUUGGGAUAACUUCAGGAAACUGGGGCUAAUACCGGAUAGGAGCUCCUGCUGCAUGGUGGGGGUUGGAAAGUUUCGGCGGUUGGGGAUGGACUCGCGGCUUAUCAGCUUGUUGGGGGGGUAGUGGCUUACCAAGGCUUUGACGGGUAGCCGGCCUGAGAGGGUGAACGGCCACCUGGGGACUGAGAUACGGCCCAGACUGCUACGGGAGGCAGCAGUGGGGAAUAUUGCAGAAUGGGCGGAAGCCUGAUGCAGCAACGCCGCGUGCGGGAUGACGGCCUUCGGGGUGUAAACAGCUUUCGCCUGUGACGAAGCGUGAGUGACGGUAAUGGGUAAAGAAGCACCGGCUAACUACGUG
Molecule: ribosomal RNA, 468 nt
Filed under: uncultured bacterium
Lineage: Bacteria
Description: partial 16S ribosomal RNA
Rfam family: Bacterial small subunit ribosomal RNA
Source: RNAcentral